Molecule: long non-coding RNA, 2455 nt
Organism: Gasterosteus aculeatus aculeatus (three-spined stickleback)
Lineage: Eukaryota; Metazoa; Chordata; Actinopteri; Perciformes; Gasterosteidae
Source: Ensembl
AUAUAUAUAUAUAUAUAUAUAUACAUGAAAAGGUUAUUGAUUUAUGUCUUAUUGAUACAGUAUCUUUACUGCAUCCUUAAAUAACAUGCAAAUUUAUUUAUGUAUUUAAUAACAACAAUGAUCUGUAAUUAAAUAUGUUGCACGUAAUAUAAAAGUUCAUAUCCAUAGUAAUAAUUUUGAUUUUCUUUGUAUUUUUAAGAUAAAUCCUUAUUCACUACAUCAAACAUAAUGCAGUCCAGUACAAUGCUGCACUGCUUUUGAAGAUGUAAAUUGGGUUAUUUGAUGAAAUUGCACUUUCUUGUGUCUUGUUCUUCUGAGUUUGUAUUCUUAUGGUUGAAAUGCACUUAGUUGCCUUGGAUGAAAAGCGUCAGCUAAAUUACAUGUAAUGUAAUGUAAUAAUGAAAUGUUGCGCAUCUGGCCUCAACCAAUCAGUGAUGUAACAGUGAUUUAAUGAAAGUUUCCGUAAAUGUAUGGUUUUUGAACUUUAAUUAAGAUGUUUUACAUUGAUUCUCCAUGUUUUGUUUGUGAACAAAUGCUGCCAGUCAUUUGAUCGUUCAAUGUUGUUUUUUGUAAUGUGCACCCUCUCCUCACCUUUCCAGCAUUCAUAACUUUGUUUUUUUAUUCACUGUACUCAAAAACCAUGGGAAGCUAAAAGUCAUGGGUGAAGCAGGCCCAGCUAACCCACCCACAGUAAGGUUCUCUUCUACACACAGCCCUAUAUGUUUGGAUGCAUUGACGUCAUGGCUGACGAAUUGUAGCCUGGAGUAGCCGGUGCUAUCAAAGGCCCCUAUGUUGAGCUGAACAGAGGUAUUAUUAGACAGCAGUGGGAGAGAUACACAGAGACAGUGGGAGGAGAGAGGAAGGAAGGAGGUUUUCUCGGAGAGAUUUUGAGUAUUCUGUCACUGGUCCCAGCAGUGGAGGGAAAGUGAUAUUUAUUUUAUUUAUAUAUUUUGUUUUUACAAACCAAGUUAGUUUAUUAGUUUUAGCUCACUUUUGUUUUUUCAUCCGGUGACAUUGACCUUUCUAAGCCCCUCCUUUCAUAUUUUCGGCUUUCUUAUUCGUGUAAUAAGAGCAAUUAACGAAAAUGAACAGUGAAGAGAAACUAUGCUGUAGUGCCAGAGAGAAUUGCAGUAUUUCAGAAGAAAUGGGUUGGAUCCGUCCACGAUGGGACAUGUCAGAGUGCCCGGCUAGCUCAGUCGGUAGAGCAUCACAUUCUUAAUCUCAGGGUCGUGGGUUCGAGCCCCACGUUGGGCGUCAUCACUCUAUUUGGAAAGGACGAAUGGGAUGUUGGACUGCUGAAGGAAAACAUCAAAAUCCAUUCACUAUAUGCCUUCACAUAAUCCUUGUUUUUGCAAAGUAUGUGCAGGCCCACUUUUAAAUUCGGAGGGUUUCAUGGAUAUUUUGAGAAGUUUUUGUGACGCUAUUUGCUAACCAGUUUAAUCCAAUAACUUCACGCCACAUGAAAACGGGUCACGACUCUUAAAAACUUCUUAUGUUAGCAUAAAAGUAGGUACCUACAUAUGGAAGACGAAACUAAUGAAGUUCACCAAGAAUCUGGUACGCCACAACAUUUCCUUCCAGUGUAAAUACCAAGUUAUUAGUUGUAGCUACCUUUCGUUUUUUCAUUCGGGUGACAUUGACCUUUUUAAGCCCCUCCUUUCAUAUUUUUGGCUUUCUUAUUCAUGUAAUAAGAGCAAAACACGGGAAUGAACAGUGAAGAGAAACUAUGCUGUAGUGCCAGAGAGAAUUGCAGUAUUUCAGAAGAAAUGGGUUGGGUCCGGCUUUCGUAUUCAUGUAAUAAGAGCAAAUAACGGAAAUGAACAGUCAAGAGAAACUAUGCUGUAGUGCCAGAGAGAAUUGCAGUAUUUCAGAAGAAAUGGGUUGGAUCCGGCUUUUGUAUUCAUGUAAUAAGAGGAAAUAACGGAAAUGAACAGUCAAGAGAAACUAUGCUGUAGUGCCAGAGAGAAUUGCAGUAUUUCAGAAGAAAUGGGUUGGGUCCGUCCACGAUGGGACACGUCAGAGUGACCGGCUAGCUCAGUCGGUAGAGCAUGAGACUCUUAAUCUCAGGGUCGUGGGUUCGAGCCCCACGUUGGGCGUCAUCACUCUAUUUGGAAAGGACGAAUGGGAUGUUGGACUGCUGAAGGAAAACAUCAAAAUCCAUUCUCUAUGAGCCUUCACACAAUCCUUGUUCUUGCAAAGUAUGUGCAGGCCCACUUUGAAAUUCGGAGGGUUUCAUGGAUAUUUUGAGAACUUUUUGUGACGCCAUUUGCUAACCAGUUUAAUCCAAUAACUUCACACCACAUGAAAACGGGUCACGACUCUUAAAAACUUCUUAUGCUGGUAUAAAAGUAGGUACCUACAUAUGGAAGACGAAACUAAUGAAGUUCAAAAAGAAUCUGGUCCGCCACAAGAUUUCCUUCCAGUGUAAAUACCAAGUUAUUAGUUUUAGCUACCU